AAGUCGUAACAAGGUAACCGUAGGUGAACCUGCGGUUGGAUCAUUAAAAAAUUAAGUCUUUGAGACUUUGACGAGGGCUUCGGCCCAAGUUUUACACCUGUGAAGCAACAUGUCUUUGGCGAGCUUGCGCUCGUCACUUGUAUUUACCCUACUUUAUAAUGACUGAAUCAAGAAUCUAAUUAAAAAACAACUUUUAACAACGGAUCUCUUGGCUCUC
This 217-nucleotide unclassified non-coding RNA is filed under the name fungal sp. Its description in RNAcentral is "partial internal transcribed spacer region". The stretch from base 1 to 46 matches the Rfam family "Eukaryotic small subunit ribosomal RNA", at positions 1786 to 1831 of the family's 1831-position model. RNAcentral also lists the same sequence under 1 other name. Lineage: Eukaryota; Fungi. The record is from RNAcentral.